AUUGGAUGAAUUUGCGCCCGAUUAGGUAAGUUGUGGGGGAACCGCCCCACCAACCCCUUAAUCGUUCCGGGUUGUGGGAGCAAGAGCCCGGAGAUGGAAUUUGAGACACGAUUUCCGGGCCCUACGGGGCGAAGCAGGCGCGAAAACUUUACCAUGCAGGGAACUGGGAUAAGGGCACCCCCGAGUGCCUGUCCACGCCGGGUUGUCCCGGUUGUUAAAAACACAUCGCAAGAAAGGGCCGGUCAUGACCCGUGCCAGCCGCCGCGGUAAUACCGGCGGCUCGAGUGGUGACCACUUUUAUUGGGCUACAAGCGUUCGUAGCUUGAUUUUUAAGUCUCUUGGGAAAUCUCACGGCUUAACUGUGAGGCGUCUAAGAGAUACUGGGAAUCUAGGGACCGGGAGAGGUAAGAGGUACUUCAGGGGUAGAAGUGAAAUUCUGUAAUCCUUGAGGGACCACCGAUGGCGAAGGCAUCUUACCAGAACGGCUUCGACAGUGAGGAACGAAAGCUGGGGGAGCGAACGGGAUUAGAUACCCCGGUAGUCCCAGCCGUAAACUAUGCGCGUUAGGUGUGCCUGUAACUACGAGUUACCGGGGUGCCGAAGUGAAAACGUGAAACGUGCCGCCUGGGAAGUACGGUCGCAAGGCUGAAACUUAAAGGAAUUGGCGGGGGAGCACCACAACGGGUGGAGCAUGCGGUUUAAUUGGACUCAACGCCGGGCAGCUCACCGGAUAGGACAGCGGAAUGAUCGCCGGGCUGAAGACCUUGCUUGACCAGCUGAGAGGAGGUGCAUGGCCGUCGUCAGUUCGUACUGUGAAGCAUCCUGUUUAGUCAGGCAACGAGCGAGACCCAAAUCAUUGGA
This 861-nucleotide ribosomal RNA is filed under the name uncultured rumen archaeon. RNAcentral describes it as "bacterial SSU rRNA". It matches the Rfam family "Archaeal small subunit ribosomal RNA", at positions 204 to 1064 of the family's 1478-position model. The record is from RNAcentral.